Molecule: transfer RNA, 70 nt
Filed under: Dipodomys ordii (Ord's kangaroo rat)
Lineage: Eukaryota; Metazoa; Chordata; Mammalia; Rodentia; Heteromyidae
Rfam family: tRNA
About the family: Transfer RNA (tRNA) molecules are approximately 80 nucleotides in length. Their secondary structure includes four short double-helical elements and three loops (D, anti-codon, and T loops).
Source: Rfam by way of RNAcentral
GGGAAUGUGGCUUAGUGGUAGAGUGCUUGCCUAGCAUGCAUGAAGCCCUGAGUUCGAUUCCUCACCACCA